CCUACGGGUGGCAGCAGUGGGGAAUAUUGCACAAUGGGGGAAACCCUGAUGCAGCGACGCCGCGUGAGUGAAGAAGUAUUUCGGUAUGUAAAGCUCUGUCAGCAGGGAAGAAAAUGACGGUACCUGACCAAGAAGCCCCGGCUAACUACGUGCCAGCAGCCGCGGUAAUACGUAGGGGGCAAGCGUUAUCCGGAUUUACUGGGGGUAAAGGGAGCGCAGGCGGCACGGCAAGCCUGAUGUGAAAGCCCGCGGCCCAACCGCGGGACUGCAUUGGGAACUACCGGGCUGGAGUGCCGGAGAGGUAGGCGGAAUUCCUAGUGUAGCGGUGAAAUGCGUAGAUAUUAGGAGGAACACCAGUGGCGAAGGCGGCCUACUGGACGGUGACUGACGCUGAGGCUCGAAAGCGUGGGGAGCAAACAGGAUUAGAUACCCUUGUAGUC
This 440-nucleotide ribosomal RNA is filed under the name uncultured bacterium. RNAcentral describes it as "partial 16S ribosomal RNA". It matches the Rfam family "Bacterial small subunit ribosomal RNA", at positions 338 to 795 of the family's 1533-position model. The record is from RNAcentral.